This 520-nucleotide ribosomal RNA is filed under the name uncultured Glomus. Its description in RNAcentral is "SSU rRNA". It matches the Rfam family "Eukaryotic small subunit ribosomal RNA", at positions 569 to 1091 of the family's 1831-position model. The record is from RNAcentral. Lineage: Eukaryota; Fungi; Glomeromycota; Glomeromycetes; Glomerales; Glomeraceae.
AGCAGCCGCGGUAAUUCCAGCUCCAAUAGCGUAUAUUAAAGUUGUUGCAGUUAAAAAGCUCGUAGUUGAAUUUCGGGAUCAGUUCGUUGGUCGUGCCUCUGGUAUGUACUGGUGUUACUGGUUCCUCCCUUCUGACGAACCGUCAUGUCAUUAAUUUGGUGUGGCGGGAAAUCAGGACUGUUACUUUGAAAAAUUAGAGUGUUUAAAGCAGGCUCGCGCUUGAAUACAUUAGCAUGGAAUAAUGAAAUAGGACGUUCGAUCCUAUUUUGUUGGUUUCUAGGAUUGACGUAAUGAUUAAUAGGGAUAGUUGGGGGCAUUAGUAUUCAAUUGUCAGAGGUGAAAUUCUUGGAUUUAUUGAAGACUAACUACUGCGAAAGCAUUUGCCAAGGAUGUUUUCAUUAAUCAAGAACGAAAGUUAGGGGAUCGAAGACGAUCAGAUACCGUCGUAGUCUUAACCAUAAACUAUGCCGACUAGGGAUCGGAUGAUGUUAAUUUUUAAUGUACUCAUUCGGCGCCUUAA